This 181-nucleotide unclassified non-coding RNA is filed under the name Devosia enhydra. Its description in RNAcentral is "caulobacter sRNA CC2171". The record is from RNAcentral. Lineage: Bacteria; Pseudomonadati; Pseudomonadota; Alphaproteobacteria; Hyphomicrobiales; Devosiaceae.
CAACAAACGGAAGGAGGUGAUCCAAUGUCUUUUGCGAACUCGCAGGUUUCCGAAGGUCUUGGAGUCUCCGAUCGCGUGGGGCAGUUCCCGCGCUGAGCGAAUGGUCCGCCGGGCUUUCCAAGUCCGGCAAGGCCUCGGCAUCCUUGCGAAAUCGGAAAGGGCCGCUCCUUGGAGCGGCCCU